GCACGGACAUGUGCACUUGGAUGAGAAACACAGCGAACUGUGGCAGGCAAACGACACUUCAAUAGGUUUGUGAGGCCAUCAGCAACUGAUUGUCCAGAUUCUCCCCAGUCAAGUACUGGUUGAAUUGCUCUAGCUGUCACUUCCAAAAGCUCUAGCUGUGGUAAGGUGCAUGCUUCUCCAUCGACAAGCAUCCCAUCUGUGGCCCGUAAAAGGAGGUCAGGGUUACUAGCCAGAAUUACCAAAGAUUCCGCUAUAUCAUGAUUCCUUAUCAGUUCUGCGAUCAAUUUUACUAUACGUUGGUUAAUUCUCCACAUUUGCUGACCAACUUCAUCAUCUUUAGCAAUCCAUGGUUGCAAUUCCCUCUCAGCCUGACAAGUAAAGUUUGGCAAGAAAGUGACCAAACAAAUAUUGUGAUGAAGACCUACUUACAGCUAGAAGCAAAGCGAUGAUAACUAUUAAUGCAUGCAAGUCUAAGAAACCCUGGAACCGGAAAGGUACUGUACCAUAAACAUAAAUGUAUUUGCCAUGUGAUAACGCCAAAAAUAUGACAGAGAAGGGAAAACUUCCAGAAAUUGCCCCUAAACUAUUCGGAAUUGCUCAAUUUUUUCUCCAUACAAUUUGGGUCCGUUAUUAAUACCCUUGCCAUAAGCAAAUCAUCCUAUAUUUUUUCUUUUAAUUAACGGAACUCCAACAUGAAAUAGGUGGACUCCAUGUGUCCAAAUUAUUUGUGAAAAAAGGUCCAAGCUUACCCCUUGUCUUUCAACUUUAGUUUAAAAUUACCCUUGGCGUUUUGUUAGGAGUUAAGGAAAAAAAAGACUUUUUAUCCUAAUGCAUCAGUAAUAUUAGACCAAAAGUUCAUUGGAGGGCAAAAUUUCUCAAUUUCGGAUAGGACAAGGAUAGACUUGUUUCUUUUCCCUAGAAAAGAAUGUAAUUAUUUGAAAUAGCAGGUGUAUCUGUUAAGCCAUUUGGAUCCAAAUAAAUAUGAACUGUGCAUACUAGCUGCAGCCUAACAAAAAAUGAUCAUGAUCUAUAAUGACCAAAUACAGUUAAAGCGAAAUCUGGACCUGAAGAACAAUUGCUGUUGCAGCUUUUCCAGGUGCCGCUGAUACAACAUUGCAUAGUGCAUCAACCACCUGUCUCCAUCCUUGCUGGGCGGAAGUGCUUUCUGCAAUGGGUUGUGUUUCAGGUGAUGCAAUCAACUUGUGCCAGAGCAAUGAGACAACAGAAAAACACAAUUCUUGUUUGUCUGCAAGCACUGAUUUUAAAAGAUCUUGUGCAUUGCAAUUAAAUCCAAAAUGCCUGUCCUUUGUAAGAAAAUUGGCCAAGUCUGUAGCAUCCAAGGAGAAAUUUGCAAACACUUUGCUGAUGGUGUACCCAGCAAGCUCACUAGAGUGUGAACUUGAGUCUGAAGCUUUCUCACACACAAGUGAACUUCUACGAUCAUACGAAUCUUUACACAGAGGUCCUGAUGGUUGUUCUGAUGUUAAGCAAUUACGACUUGUGUAUUUAUAAUGCUUUUUCCCAUUCAAGCAUCUAGGUCGCUCCUUCAGAAGUGGUACAUGUAUUAGAUAAGCUUCCAAUGGUUCAGCCUUGUUGACAAUUGAUGCAACAGUUUUGCUAUGAAUAUCAAUUAGGUUAUAAAUUGACGAUGCCCUGGAAUGAAUUUCAUUAUCCCACUUGCACCGUAUCAAAGAAGAAAGAGAGUGCAUGCAGGCCUUGGAGCGUUUAAAAAGAUCAGAAAUAUGAGCAGCUACCAUAGCUGCAGCAACUAUCUCAUUUGAGCUGAAGCUCCAUGAGGUUCCAACAGAAGAUGGUUUAAGAGAAAAAAGUGCCUCUAAAAUUUCCAACAUCCUCCGAGUAUGAGAGACGGCAGAAUGAAUCCCAUUUCGUAGCUCAGUAGAUGAAUCACUUGCAGGCUUGGCUUCAUCCAUGAUGAUUUUUGGAUCUGGAUAAUUAGGCCCUCUUGAAAUCAUACUGAAGAGCUGAAGCUCGCAAGAAAGUCCACAGACAGAAGCAAGGACAUAAGAAUCAAAUGCUGCAACAGGCCCUUGUUUUUUCACUUUCUUACUCCCUAUUGGUCUUUGUUUUCCAAUGGUUGCCUGAGUGUCUACCCCGAUUUCACUAGGUGAGUGAGUAUCUUCACCUUUAGGCCUUUUAUUCCCAUUUGGUUUUGCUUCAUGACUGACACAUACUGUUAAGAUAACAAAAAGUAGUCGAGAUGCAAGCUCAACAGAGGCACACGACUCCAAGAACAAUGAAUGAACCAUGGUUCGCAGUUCUGCCACAGCAAGAUUUUUUAAGGCAGAGCCAAAAAUAUAUCUGGUUUUUCUGGUUUCUUCUCUAGAGGAAUCAGGCGGGAACGUUCUCUGAAGAAUUGCUUCGACGGUCGCAACAAAUAUUUUCAUAAGACAAGUUUCAGAUGGGCUCCCACGAGGAAGAUACUCAAGAACCUUAAGAAGGGGUAUAUACAGGUUCCAUGACAAAAUGGGUGGUUGUAAAGGGGUGGCAACUACAAUCUCAGGGAGAUCAACUGCAGAUGAACUUAAAGGAAUCAAUCCAUAAGCAGCUUCCCAGAUGGUACAUAUUCUCCAUUCAACCUCCGGA
RNAcentral lists this unclassified non-coding RNA (2604 nucleotides) under Hevea brasiliensis (rubber tree). Lineage: Eukaryota; Viridiplantae; Streptophyta; Magnoliopsida; Malpighiales; Euphorbiaceae. The record is from RNAcentral.